UGACCGCAUGGUUCAAUAGUGAAAGACGUUUGCUGUCACUUAUAGAUGGAUCCGCGCCGCAUUAGCUAGUUGGUAAGGUAACGGCUUACCAAGGCAACGAUGCGUAGCCGACCUGAGAGGGUGAUCGGCCACACUGGAACUGAGACACGGUCCAGACUCCUACGGGAGGCAGCAGUAGGGAAUCUUCCGCAAUGGGCGAAAGCCUGACGGAGCAACGCCGCGUGAGUGAUGAAGGUCUUCGGAUCGUAAAACUCUGUUAUUAGGGAAGAACAAAUGUGUAAGUAACUAUGCACGUCUUGACGGUACCUAAUCAGAAAGCCACGGCUAACUACGUGCCAGCAGCCGCGGUAAUACGUAGGUGGCAAGCGUUAUCCGGAAUUAUUGGGCGUAAAGCGCGCGUAGGCGGUUUUUAAGUCUGAUGUGAAAGCCACGGCUCACCGUGAGGUCAUGGAACUGAACUGAGUCAGAGAGGA
This 473-nucleotide ribosomal RNA is filed under the name Staphylococcus epidermidis. RNAcentral describes it as "bacterial SSU rRNA". It matches the Rfam family "Bacterial small subunit ribosomal RNA", at positions 183 to 655 of the family's 1533-position model. Lineage: Bacteria; Bacillati; Bacillota; Bacilli; Caryophanales; Staphylococcaceae. The record is from RNAcentral.